This 27-nucleotide non-coding RNA is filed under the name Cricetulus griseus (Chinese hamster). The record is from RNAcentral. Lineage: Eukaryota; Metazoa; Chordata; Mammalia; Rodentia; Cricetidae.
GUGUGCACCCUGGAGGCCGCAGUGAGC